RNAcentral lists this ribosomal RNA (123 nucleotides) under Saksenaea vasiformis. Its description in RNAcentral is "partial small subunit ribosomal RNA". It matches the Rfam family "Eukaryotic small subunit ribosomal RNA", at positions 808 to 928 of the family's 1831-position model. Lineage: Eukaryota; Fungi; Mucoromycota; Mucoromycetes; Mucorales; Saksenaeaceae. The record is from RNAcentral.
CAUGGAAUAAUGAAAUGAUGGCUUGGGUCCUUAUUUCGUUGGUUUAUACGACCUUUGCAAUGAUAAAUAGGAACGGUUGGGGGGAUUUGUAUUUGGCCGCUAGAGGUGAAAUUCUUGGAUUGA